CUGAGUACGGCGGAACACGUGAAAUUCCGUCGGAAUCCGGGAGGACCAUCUCCCAAGGCUAAAUACUCCCUAGUGACCGAUAGUGAACCAGUACCGUGAGGGAAAGGUGAAAAGCACCCCGGAAGGGGAGUGAAACAGUUCCUGAAACCGUGUGCCUACAAGUAGUUAGAGCCCGUUAAUGGGUGAUAGCGUGCCUUUUGUAGAAUGAACCGGCGAGUUACGAUUUGUUGCAAGGUUAAGCGGAAAAAGCGGAGCCGUAGCGAAAGCGAGUCUGAAUAGGGCGCAUAAGUAACAGGUCGUAGACCCGAAACCAGGUGAUCUACCCAUGUCCAGGAUGAAGGUAAGGUAAUACUUACUGGAGGUCCGAACCCACGCACGUUGAAAAGUGCGGGGAUGAGGUGUGGGUAGCGGAGAAAUUCCAAUCGAACUUGGAGAUAGCUGGUUCUCUCCGAAAUAGCUUUAGGGCUAGCCUCGAGGUAAAGAGUCAUGGAGGUAGAGCACUGUUUGGACUAGGGGCCCUUCUCGGGUUACCGAAUUCAGAUAAACUCCGAAUGCCAUGUACUUAUACUCGGGAGUCAGACUGCGAGUGAUAAGAUCCGUAGUCGAAAGGGAAACAGCCCAGACCACCA
RNAcentral lists this ribosomal RNA (629 nucleotides) under Listeria monocytogenes. RNAcentral's name for it is "partial 23S ribosomal RNA". It matches the Rfam family "Bacterial large subunit ribosomal RNA", at positions 408 to 1037 of the family's 2925-position model. Lineage: Bacteria; Bacillati; Bacillota; Bacilli; Caryophanales; Listeriaceae. The record is from RNAcentral.